Dreissena polymorpha is the source of this 1432-nucleotide long non-coding RNA. RefSeq lists it as uncharacterized. NCBI's taxonomy places the organism in Eukaryota, Metazoa, Mollusca, Bivalvia, Myida, Dreissenidae. The record is from RefSeq and is a predicted model, not a curated record. The transcript is spliced from 4 exons.
GAGUGACUCAGUUAUGGGGUGCAGAAGCAGCACAAGCGAUCUUGACAUUUACUUGGUGAAUCAUCCCCAACAGCACUUGACGAUGGUUUCCUGCUCGAUAAGGAUGAAUCCAUAACUGAGAACUGAGGAUGAAACUUCUCUCAACACCGCAUUGUAUGAAGACAAAGCAACUCAGUGUGGUUCGUCAUCGUCAACAACAGAUUCAGACUCAGCUGACGUUGGAGACUGUCAAGUUGCGAUCAAUGACUGUGCCUAUCAGGGUUGAGUGUUACAUACUGAACGAAGUGAUCCAAAGCUUUAUAUUGUCACUACGCACGCAAGAGACAUGGACAUGCUCUCUUUAUAUUCAGAUCAAAGCAAUGCCAAAACAUUUAAGUAUGAAAGUAUGUGUUAAUGAAGCAGGACACACUACUGUGUACGUUCAUGGUUAGGAAGUUGCCCAGGACCAUUUUUUGUGAAACAAAAUUUCUAGAAACAAUGCAGUAUGUGCUGAUAGCAUGCGUCUCGUGUGAGAGAAAUGUCGUAAAAGCGAACGAGGACAGUGGACAGCUAGAGCACUCUCGCCGCUUCUUUAGCGGCCGCAUUGAGAUCGGGUGGUUUUGGAAACGUUCAAAAGAAGCACUGAGGGGGAGCGGUUCACUCUGACAAUUCAAGCAGAUCCGUGCGAUGUUAAUGUUUACGAUGCAAACAGAGAUGGCAUGAUAACAAUGGAUGAGCUCCAAGCGAUUUUCGGAGACGACCCCAAAACCCUGGAACUGGGUGAGGCGCUUGACAAAAACGAUGACGGUCAGGUGGACAAAGAAGAAUUCAAGGAGGACAUGCAUAAAUUUGUUGAAGGUUGUUAAACUGGCGUUGAAUUAUGCGUCCGCAGUUGUGUAAAACUUUUUUUGUAUACGUUUAUCUCAUACAGAAUUUUUAAUCAUAGCUGACUGCCUGUUUAUUUCGAAACUAUACUUUUACUAAAAGAGAUUUUUCUGGAAACAGCAAGCCCAACUGCUUCGUUAGAAAUGAAGACUUUGAACGUUUAAUAUGAUCAAUAUAUCUAAUAUAUUAUGAUGUGAAUGAUUUUAUAAUCAAUGUAAGCAUUUCUAUAUAUAAAAGCAAAUAUAUACGUUAUACUGUUUUGAGACAUUUUGACAUUUAUUGCUCUUAUAAGGCCAGAGUUCAAUCAUUUACCUUUAAUUCAUUUAAAAUUAAUUCUACUUUGCACACGCUUUUUUUGCCACCCAACUGAAUAAUGAAACGUCUCAAAUCAGCCAUUAAAUCAUAUGUGCAUAUGUUUGUUUUUUAAAAGAUUGAUAAAUACGCUUUCGUUAUGUGCAAAGAUACAUUCCAACUUUUAUGUGUGUUUUGUGAUAAUAUAUACAAAUCUCCAUGCACGUAAAUUACUUGUAAGAUUCUAAUCGAGAAUUUGAAAAAGGUUGGCGGGUGU